AGAGUUUGAUCAUGGCUCAGAUUGAACGCUGGCGGCAGGCCUAACACAUGCAAGUCGAGCGGUAGCACAGAGAGCUUGCUCUCGGGUGACGAGCGGCGGACGGGUGAGUAAUGUCUGGGAAACUGCCUGAUGGAGGGGGAUAACUACUGGAAACGGUAGCUAAUACCGCAUAACGUCGCAAGACCAAAGUGGGGGACCUUCGGGCCUCAUGCCAUCAGAUGUGCCCAGAUGGGAUUAGCUAGUAGGUGGGGUAACGGCUCACCUAGGCGACGAUCCCUAGCUGGUCUGAGAGGAUGACCAGCCACACUGGAACUGAGACACGGUCCAGACUCCUACGGGAGGCAGCAGUGGGGAAUAUUGCACAAUGGGCGCAAGCCUGAUGCAGCCAUGCCGCGUGUGUGAAGAAGGCCUUCGGGUUGUAAAGUACUUUCAGCGGGGAGGAAGGCGUUAAGGUUAAUAACCUUGGCGAUUGACGUUACCCGCAGAAGAAGCACCGGCUAACUCCGUGCCAGCAGCCGCGGUAAUACGGAGGGUGCAAGCGUUAAUCGGAAUUACUGGGCGUAAAGCGCACGCAGGCGGUCUGUCAAGUCGGAUGUGAAAUCCCCGGGCUCAACCUGGGAACUGCAUUCGAAACUGGCAGGCUAGAGUCUUGUAGAGGGGGGUAGAAUUCCAGGUGUAGCGGUGAAAUGCGUAGAGAUCUGGAGGAAUACCGGUGGCGAAGGCGGCCCCCUGGACAAAGACUGACGCUCAGGUGCGAAAGCGUGGGGAGCAAACAGGAUUAGAUACCCUGGUAGUCCACGCCGUAAACGAUGUCGAUUUGGAGGUUGUGCCCUUGAGGCGUGGCUUCCGGAGCUAACGCGUUAAAUCGACCGCCUGGGGAGUACGGCCGCAAGGUUAAAACUCAAAUGAAUUGACGGGGGCCCGCACAAGCGGUGGAGCAUGUGGUUUAAUUCGAUGCAACGCGAAGAACCUUACCUGGUCUUGACAUCCACAGAACUUUCCAGAGAUGGAUUGGUGCCUUCGGGAACUGUGAGACAGGUGCUGCAUGGCUGUCGUCAGCUCGUGUUGUGAAAUGUUGGGUUAAGUCCCGCAACGAGCGCAACCCUUAUCCUUUGUUGCCAGCGGUUAGGCCGGGAACUCAAAGGAGACUGCCAGUGAUAAACUGGAGGAAGGUGGGGAUGACGUCAAGUCAUCAUGGCCCUUACGACCAGGGCUACACACGUGCUACAAUGGCAUAUACAAAGAGAAGCGACCUCGCGAGAGCAAGCGGACCUCAUAAAGUAUGUCGUAGUCCGGAUUGGAGUCUGCAACUCGACUCCAUGAAGUCGGAAUCGCUAGUAAUCGUAGAUCAGAAUGCUACGGUGAAUACGUUCCCGGGCCUUGUACACACCGCCCGUCACACCAUGGGAGUGGGUUGCAAAAGAAGUAGGUAGCUUAACCUUCGGGAGGGCGCUUACCACUUUGUGAUUCAUGACUGGGGUGAAGUCGUAACAAGGUAACCGUAGGGGAACCUGCGGUUGGAUCACCU
This 1528-nucleotide ribosomal RNA is filed under the name Klebsiella pneumoniae. RNAcentral describes it as "bacterial SSU rRNA". It matches the Rfam family "Bacterial small subunit ribosomal RNA". The record is from RNAcentral. Lineage: Bacteria; Pseudomonadati; Pseudomonadota; Gammaproteobacteria; Enterobacterales; Enterobacteriaceae.